CAGAGCUGGUAAUAAUAAACUAUGUUGUGCCUAGAUGUUCCCGAGUGGUACACUCAACUUAAGUUUAGGAGCGACACAAUUUAGCACCGCCGCUCUA
RNAcentral lists this non-coding RNA (97 nucleotides) under unclassified sequences. Its description in RNAcentral is "DUF3800-V RNA". It matches the Rfam family "DUF3800-V RNA". The record is from Rfam by way of RNAcentral.